Molecule: ribosomal RNA, 544 nt
Filed under: Polyacanthonotus rissoanus (smallmouth spiny eel)
Lineage: Eukaryota; Metazoa; Chordata; Actinopteri; Notacanthiformes; Notacanthidae
Description: partial 16S ribosomal RNA
Rfam family: Bacterial large subunit ribosomal RNA
Source: RNAcentral
GUUAAACGGCCGCGGUAUUCUGACCGUGCUAAGGUAGCGUAAUCACUUGUCUUUUAAAUGAAGACCCGUAUGAAUGGCAUCACGAGGGCUCAGCUGUCUCCUCUCUUUAGUCAAUGAAAUUGAUCUGCCCGUGCAGAAGCGGACAUGAUAACAUAAGACGAGAAGACCCUAUGGAGCUUAAGACAAAGGGCCAACCAUGUUAAACUACUAGUGAACCGACCGGGUUAAGAAGUAAUCAAGCUCUGUGGCACAUGGCCGGAAUGUCUUCGGUUGGGGCGACCUCGGAGGAAAACCAAGCCUCCGCGUGGAAUGGGGGUAAUGACCUUCCCCUAGAACUAAGAACCACAAAUCUAAGUAGCAAAAAUUUUGGCCAUUAAUGACCCGGAAUAAAUCCGAUCAACGAACCAAGUUACCCUAGGGAUAACAGCGCAAUCCCUUCCCAGAGUCCAUAUCGACGAAGGGGUUUACGACCUCGAUGUUGGAUCAGGACAUCCUAAUGGUGCAGCCGCUAUUAAGGGUUCGUUUGUUCAACGAUUAAAGUCCU